CAACCCUCAAGCCCAGCUUGGUGUUGGGGCCCUACGGUCGACGUAGGCCCUUAAAGGUAGUGGCGGACCCUCCCGGAGCCUCCUUUGCGUAGUAACUUAACGUCUCGCACUGGGAUCCGGAGGGACUCUUGCCGUAAAACCCCCAAAACUUUUACA
This 156-nucleotide unclassified non-coding RNA is filed under the name Colletotrichum higginsianum. Its description in RNAcentral is "partial internal transcribed spacer 2". Lineage: Eukaryota; Fungi; Ascomycota; Sordariomycetes; Glomerellales; Glomerellaceae. RNAcentral also lists the same sequence under 1 other name. The record is from RNAcentral.